UGUUGGGGAACGUUGCAGAAAAUUAAAAAUUUUUCUACGGUUUCACCAAGAUCCAUCUAUGAGUUCAUCUAAGCAACGAGUAACGGGAGAGAGUUUGCAUCUACAUACCACUUGUAGAUCGCGUGCGGAAGCUUGCAAGGUGAUGAUGUAGUCGUACUCGACGUGAUUCAAAUCACCGAUGACCAAGCGCUAAACGGACAACACCUCCGCGUUCAACACACGUACGGUACGGGUGAUGUCUCCUCCAUCUUGAUCCAGCAAGGAGGAAGGAGAGGUUGAGGAAGACAGCUCCACCGGCAGCACGACGGCGUGGUGAUGGUGGAGAAGCAGUACUCCGACAGGGCUUCGCCGAGCACACAACGGAGGAGGAGAGGUGUUGGGGAGGGGAGGGCUGCGCCUUGGCUUGUGGUGCGGCUGCCCGCCCCUCACCCCUCUAUUUAUAGGGGGAAGGGAGAAGGGGGCCGGCCCCUCUAGAUCCAUCUAGAGGGGGGGCGGCGGCCAAGGGGAGGGGGGACUUGCGCCCCAAGCAAGGGGGGGCGCCCCCUCUAGGGUUCCCCCCUCAACCCUAGGCGCAAGGGCCCAGGGGAGGGGGUGCGCCAAGCCCACCAGGGGCUGGCCAACUCCCCACGCAGCCCAAGUGGCCCCCCGGGAGGGGUGGCCCCUCCCGGUGGACCCCCGGAGCCCUUCCGGUGGCCCCGGUACAAUACCGGUAUGCCCCCGAAACUUUCCGGUGUCCUUUUAACAGCUUCCCAUAUAUAAACUUUACCUCCGGACCCUUCCGGAACUCCUCGUGACGUCCGGGAUCUCACCCGGGACUCCGAACAACAUUCGGUAGUCACAUACUAGUCUUCCUAAUAACCCUAGCGUCACCGAACCUUAAGUGUGUAGACCCUACGGGUUCGGGAGACACGCAGACAUGACCGAGACGACUCUCGGGCAAUAACCAAUAGCGGGGUCUGGAUACCCAUGUUGGCUCCCACAUGCUCCUCGAUGAUCUCAUCGGUUGAACCACGAUGUCGAGGAUUCGAUCAAACCCUGUAUGCAAUUCCCUUUGUCAAUCGGUACGUUACUUGCCCGAGACUCGAUCGUCGGUAUCCCAAUACCUUGUUCAGUCUCGUUACCGGCAAGUCACUUUACUCGUACCGUAAUGCAUGAUCCCAUGGCCAACACCUUGGUCACCUUGAGCUCAUUAUGAUGAUGCAUUACUGAGUGGGCCCAGAGAUACCUCUCCGUCAUACGGAGUGACAAAUCCCAGUCUCGAUCCAUGUCAACCCAACAGAUACUUUCGGAGAUACCUGUAAUGCACCUUUAUAGUCACCUAGUUACGUUGUGACGUUUGAUACACCCAAGGCACUCCUACGGUAUCCGGGAGUUACACGAUGUCAUGGUCGAAGGAAGAGAUACUUGACAUUGGCAAAGCUCUAGCAAACGAACUACACAAUCUUUUAUGCUAUGCUUAGGAUUGGGUCUUGUCCAUCACAUCAUUCUCCUAAUGAUGUGAUCCCGUUAUCAACGACGUCCAAUGUCCAUAGUCAGGAAACCAUGGCUAUCUGUUGAUCACAACGAGCUAGUCAACUAGAGGCUCACUAGGGACAUAUUGUGGUCUAUGUGUUCACACGUGUAUUACGAUUUCCGGAUAAUACAGUUAUAGCAUGAACAAAAUACAAUUAUCAUGAACAAUGAAAUAUAAUAAUACUUUUAUUAUUGCCUCUAGGGCAUAUUUCCAACAGUCUCCCACUUGCACUAGAGUCACCAAUCUAGUUACAUUAUGAUGAAUCGAACACCCAUAGAGUUCUGGUGUUGAUCAUGUUUUGCACGCGAGAGAGGUUUAGUCAACGGAUCUGCGACAUUCAGAUCCGUGUGCACUUUGCAAAUCUCUAUGUCUCCAUCUUGAACAUUUUCACGGAUGGAGUUGAAACGACGCUUGAUGUGCCUGGUCUUCUUGUGAAACCUGGGCUCCUUGGCAAGGGCAAUAGCUCCAGUGUUGUCACAGAAGAGUUUGAUCGGCCCCGACGCAUUGGGUAUGACUCCUAGGUCGGUGAUGAACUCCUUCACCCAAAUCGCUUCAUGCGCUGCCUCCGAGGCUGCCAUGUACUCCGCUUCACACGUAGAUCCCGCCACGACGCUCUGCUUGCAGCUGCACCAGCUUACUGCUCCACCAUUCAACAUAUACACGUAUCCGGUUUGUGACUUAGAGUCAUCCAGAUCUGAGUCGAAGCUAGCGUCGACGUAACCCUUUACGACGAGCUCUUCGUCUCCUCCAUAAACGAGAAACAUGUCCUUUGUCCUUUUCAGGCACUUCAGGAUAUUCUUGACCGCUGUCCAGGGUUCCUUGCCGGGAUUACUUUGGUAUCUUGCAACCAAACUUACGGCAAGGUUUACAUCGGGUCUGGUACACAGCAUGGCAUACAUAAUAGAUCCUAUGGCUGAAGCAUAGGGGAUAACACUCAUCUCUUCUUUAUCUUUUGCCGUGGUCGGUGACUCAGCUGAGCUCAAUCUCACACCUUGUAACAUAGGCAAGAACCCCUUCUUGGACUGAUCCAUUUUGAACCUCUUCAAAAUCUUAUCAAGGUAUGUGCUUUGUGAAAGACCUAUGAGGCGUCUCGAUCUAUCUCUAUAGAUCUUGAUGCCUAAUAUAUAAGCAGCUUCUCCAAGGUCCUUCAUUGAAAAACACUUAUUCAAGUAGGCCUUAAUGCUGUCCAGAAGUUUUGUAUCAUUUCCCAUCAAGAGUAUGUCAUCUACAUAUAGUAUGAGAAAUGCUAAAGAGCUCCCACUCACUUUCUUGUAAACGCAGGCUUCUCCAUAAGUCUGCAUAAACCCAAACGCUUUGAUCAUCUCAUCAAAGCGAAUGUUCCAACUCCGAGAUGCCUGCACCAGCCCAUAAAUGGAUCGCUAGAGCUUGCAUACUUUGUUAGCGUUCUUAGGAUCGACAAAACCUUCUGGCUGCAUCAUAUACAGUUCUUCCUUAAGAUGCCCGUGAAGGAAUGCCGUUUUGACGUCCAUCUGCCAUAUCUCAUAAUCAUAGUAUGCGGCAAUUGCUAACAUGAUUCGGACGGACUUUAGCUUCGCUACGGGAGAGAAUGUCUCAUCGUAGUCAAUCCCUUGAACUUGUCGAUAACCCUUAGCGACAAGUCGAGCCUUAUAGAUGGUAACAUUACCAUCCGCGUCCGUCUUCUUCUUAAAAAUCCAUUUGUUUUCUAUCGCUUGCCGAUCAUCGGGCAAGUCUGUCAAAGUCCAUACUUUGUUUUCAUACAUGGAUUCUAUCUCGGAUUUCAUGGCUUCAAGCCAUUUGUUGGAAUCUGGGCCCGCCAUUGCUUCUUCAUAGUUCGAAGGUUCAUUGUUGUCUAACAACAUGAUUUCCAUGAUAGGGUUGCCGUACCACUCUGGUGCGGAACGUGUCCUUGUGGACCUUCGAAGUUCAGUAGCAACUUGAUCCGAAGUACCUUGAUCAUCAUCAUUGGUUUCCUCUUCAGUUGGUGUGGGCAUCACAGGAACAUUUUCCUGAGCUGCACCACUUUCCCGUUCGAGAGGUAGUACUUCAUCGAGUUCUACUUUCCUCCCACUUACUUCUUUCGAGAGAAACUCUUUUUCCAGAAAGCAUCCGUUCUUGGCAACAAAGGUCUUGCCCUCGGAUCUUAAGUAGAAGGUAUACCCGACAGUUUCCUUAGGGUAUCCUAUGAAGACGCAUUUUUCCGACUUGGGUUCGCGCUUUUCAGGUUGAAGUUUCUUGACAUAAGCAUCGCAUCCCCAAACUUUUAGAAACGACAGCUUAGGUUUCUUCCCAAACCAUAAUUCAUACGGUGUCGUCUCAACGGAUUUAGACGGUGCCCUAUUUAAAGUGAAUGUAGCUGUCUCUAGAGCGUAUCCCCAAAAUGAUAGCGGUAAAUCGGUAAGAGACAUCAUAGACCGCACCAUAUCCAAUAGAGUGCGAUUACGACGUUCGGACACACCGUUUCGCUGAGGUGUUCCAGGCGGCGUGAGUUGUGAAACGAUUCCACAUUUCCUUAAGUGUGUGCCAAAUUCGUGACUUAAGUAUUCUCCUCCACGAUCUGAUCGUAGGAAUUUUAUCUUUCGGUCACAUUGAUUCUCCACCUCAUUCUGAAAUUCCUUGAACUUUUCAAAGGUUUUAGACUUGUGUUUCAUUAAGUAAACAUACCCAUAUCUACUCAAGUCAUCAGUAAGAGUGAGAACAUAACGAUAUCCUCCGCGAGCCUCAACGCUCAUUGGACCGCACACAUCAGUAUGUAUGAUUUCCAACAAGUUGGUUGCUCGCUCCAUUGUUCCGGAGAACGGAGUCUUGGUCAUUUUGCCUAAGAGGCAUGGUUCGCAUGUGUCAAAGGAUUCAUAAUCAAGAGACUCUAAAAGUCCAUCAGCAUGGAGCUUCUUCAUGCGCUUGACACCAAUGUGACCAAGGCGGCAGUGCCACAAGUAUGUGGGACUAUCAUUAUCAACUUUACAUCUUUUCGCAUCCACACUAUGAACAUGUGUAAUAUUACGCUCGAGAUUCAUUAAGAAUAAACCAUUGACCAUUGGAGCAUGAUCAUAAAACAUAUCUCUCAUAUAAAUCGAACAACCAUUAUUCUCAGACUUAAAUGAGUAGCCAUAUCGUAUUAAACGAGAUCCAGAUACAAUGUUCAUGCUCAAACUUGGCACUAAAUAACAAUUAUUAAGGUUCAAAACUAAUCCCGUAGGUAAAUGUAGAGGUAGCGUGCCGACGACGAUCACAUCGACUCUGGAACCAUUCCCGACGCGCAUCGUCACCUCGUCCCUUGCCAGUCUUCGUUUAUUCCGCAACUCCUGCUGUGAGUUACAAAUAUGAGCAACAGCACCGGUAUCAAAUACCCAGGAGUUACUAUGAGUACUGGUAAGGUACACAUCAAUUACAUGUAUAUCAAAUAUACCUUUGGUGUUGCCGGCAUUCUUAUCCGCUAAGUAUUUGGGGCAGUUCCGCUUCCAGUGACCCUUCCCCUUGCAAUAAAAGCACUCAGUCUCAGGCUUGGGUCCAUUCUUUGACUUCUUCCCGGCAACUGGCUUACCGGGCGCGGCAACAUCUUUGCCGUCCUUCUUGAAGUUCUUCUUACCCUUGCCCUUCUUGAACUUAGUGGUCUUAUUGACCAUCAACACUUGAUGUUCUUUCUUGAUUUCAGCCUCUGCCAACUUCAGCAUCGAGAACACUUCAGGAAUGGUCUUUACCAUCCCCUGCAUGUUGUAGUUCAUCACAAAGCUCUUGUAGCUUGGUGGGAGCGACUGGAGGAUUCUGUCAAUGACCGCCUCAUCUGGGAGGUUAAUGUUCAGCUGGGUCAUACGGUUGUGCAACCCAGACAUCUUCAGGAUGUGCUCACUGACAGAACUGUUUUCCUCCAUCUUACAACUGUAGAACUUGUCGGAGACAUCAUAUCUCUCGACCCGGGCAUGAGCUUGGAAAAGUAGUUUCAGCUCUUCGAACAUCUCAUAUGCUCCGUGAUGCUCAAAACUCUUUUGGAGCCCCGGUUCUAAGCUGUAAAGCAUGCCGCACUGAACGAGGGAGUAAUCAUCAGCACGAGCUUGCCAAGCGUUCAUAACGUCUUGGUUCUCUGGGACGGGAGCGUCACCUAGCGGUCCUUCUAGGACAUAUUGCUUCCUGGCAGCUAUGAGGAUGAUCCUUAGGUUCCGGACCCAGUCCGUAUAGUUGCUGCCAUCAUCUUUCAGCUUGGUUUUCUCUAGGAACGUGUUGAAGUUCAUGUUGACAUUAGCGUUGGCCAUUGAUCUACAAGACAUAUUUGCAAAGGUUUUAGACUAAGUUCAUGAUAAUAUAGUUCUAAUCAAAUUAUGAACUCCCACUUAGAUUAGACAUCCCUCUAGUCAUCUAAGUGUUACACGAUCCAAGUCGACUAGCCCGUGUCCGAUCAUCACGUGAGACGGACUAGUCAUCGUCGGUGAACAUCUUCAUGUUGAUCGUAUCUUCCAUACGACUCGUGUUCGACCUUUUGGUCUCCGUGUUCCGAGGCCAUGUCUACACAUGCUAGGCUCGUCAAGUUAACCCUAAGUGUUUUCGCUGUGUAAAACUGUCUUACACCCGUUGUAUGUGAACAUAAGAAUCCAUCACACCCGAUCAUCACGUGGUGCUUAGAAGCGACGAACUGUAGCAACGGUGCACAGUUAGGGGAGAACACUUCUUGAAAUUUUGUAAGGGAUCAUCUUAUUUACUACCGUCGUCCUAAGUAAACAAGAUGCAUAAACAUAAUAAACAUCACAUGCAAUUAUAUAGUUGUGACAUGAUAUGGCCAAUAUCAUAAAGCUCCAUUGAUCUCCAUCUUCGGGGCUCCAUGAUCAUCUUGUCACCGGCUUGACACCAUGAUCUCCAUCAUCAUGAUCUCCAUCAUCGUGUCUUCAUGAAUUUGUCACGCCAACGACUACUUCUACUUCUAUGACUAACGUUUAGAAAUAAAGUAAAGUAGUUUACAUGGCGUUCUUCAAUGACACGCAGGUCAUACAAAAAAUAAAGACAACUCCUAUGGCUCCUGCCGGUUGUCAUACUCAUCGACAUGCAAGUCGUGAAUCCUAUUACAAGAACAUGAUCUCAUACAUCACAAUUCAACAUUCAUCACAACUUCUGGCCAUAUCACAUCACAUGAUCAAUCGCUGCAAAAACAAGUUAGACGUCCUCUAAUUGUUGUUGCAUCUUUUACGUGGCUGCGAUUGGGUUCUAGCAAGAACGUUUUCUUACCUACGAAUAACCACAACGUGAUUUUGUCAACUUCUAUUUACCCUUCAUAAGGGCCCUGUUCAUUGAAUCCACUCCAACUAAAGUGGGAGAGACAGACACCCGCCAGCCACCUUAUGCAACUAGUGCAUGUCAAUCGGUGGAACCGGUCUCACGUAAGCGUACGUGUAAGGUUGGUCCGGGCCGCUUCAUCCCACAAUACCGUUGAAGCAAGAAAAGAAUAGUAGAGGCAAGUAAGUUGACAAGAUCCACGCCCACAACAAAUUGUGUUCUACUCGUGCAUUAGAGAACUACGCAUAGACCUAGCUCAUGAUGCCACUGUUGGGGAACGUUGCAGAAAAUUAAAAUUUUUUCUACGGUUUCACCAAGAUCCAUCUAUGAGUUCAUCUAAGCAACGAGUAACGGGAGAGAGUUUGCAUCUACAUACCACUUGUAGAUCACGUGCGGAAGCUUGCAAGGUGAUGAUGUAGUCGUACUCGACGUGAUUCGAAUCACCGAUGACCAAGUGCUGAACGGACAGCACCUCCGCGUUCAACACACGUACGGUACGGGUGACGUCUCCUCCGUCUUGAUCCAGCAAGGAGGAAGGAGAGGUUGAGGAAGACAGCUCCACCGGCAGCACGACGGCGUGGUGAUGGUGGAGAAGCAGUACUCCGACAGGGCUUCGCCGAGCACACAACGGAGGAGGAGAGGUGUUGGGGAGGGGAGGGCUGCGCCUUGGCUUGUGGUGCGGCUGCCCUCCCCUCACCCCUUUAUUUAUAGGGGGAAGGGAGAAGGGGGCCGGCCCCUCUAGAUCCAU
This 7502-nucleotide long non-coding RNA is filed under the name Triticum aestivum (bread wheat). RNAcentral describes it as "long non-coding RNA (TAES_LNC022009)". Lineage: Eukaryota; Viridiplantae; Streptophyta; Magnoliopsida; Poales; Poaceae. The record is from RNAcentral.